AGAAACUUAGGAUAACUAAACCUUAAGCCUUCAAAGCUUAAAAUAGAAGUUAAGAUUCUUCUAGUUUCUG
RNAcentral lists this transfer RNA (70 nucleotides) under Craugastor augusti (barking frog). Its description in RNAcentral is "tRNA-Trp". It matches the Rfam family "tRNA". Rfam says of the family: Transfer RNA (tRNA) molecules are approximately 80 nucleotides in length. Their secondary structure includes four short double-helical elements and three loops (D, anti-codon, and T loops). Lineage: Eukaryota; Metazoa; Chordata; Amphibia; Anura; Craugastoridae. The record is from RNAcentral.